GUUCUGGGUUCAUGAAUCUACAGCUCUAACAAGACAUCUUUAUUUAACUUACAAAAUUCGUUUCUGCUAUAAAACAGAAAAGUUACCUUUAAAGUACAGAUAACUCUUUGGGACAAGUGUUACGAACUUUUCCAUCAAACCUUCAAAUAUUUAAUAGCAGUCUGAACAUCUUUAUCGCCUCUACCGCUGCAGUUGAGCACGACCUUAGUUCCAUUUGCUAGAGUUGGACACAGCUUCUCUAAGUAGGCGAGAGCAUGAGAUGUUUCCAGAGCGGGGAUGAUACCCUCUAACCGAGAUAACCUUUUGAAGGCUUCCAAAGCCUCCUCAUCUGUGAUGCUAUAAUAUUCUGCUCUACCGAGAUCUUUCAAAAAGCUGUGUUCUGGCCCAACUCCUGGGUAAUCCAAUCCGGCACUGAUAGAAUGAGGCUCAACAAUCUGCCCAUCUUCGUCUUGCAGUAGAUAACUCAUAGCUCCAUGCAGUACUCCUACCUCACCCUUUGUCAAAGUGGCGGCAUGUUUACUACUAUCUAGACCAAAACCUGCUGCUUCAACCCCAAUCAACCUCACAUCUUUGUCAUCAACAAACUCAUGAAAGAGUCCCAUAGCAUUUGAACCUCCACCAACACAUGCAACAAGCACGUCUGGUUUCCCGCCCCACUUUUCCAAUGAUUGCUUCCUUGUUUCUUUACCAAUCACUGCAUGGAACUCCCUAACCAUCAUGGGGUAAGGGUGUGGUCCUGCAACAGAUCCAAGUAUGUAGUGAGUUGUUUCAACAUUUGUAACCCAAUCCCUU
Molecule: unclassified non-coding RNA, 792 nt
Filed under: Hevea brasiliensis (rubber tree)
Lineage: Eukaryota; Viridiplantae; Streptophyta; Magnoliopsida; Malpighiales; Euphorbiaceae
Source: RNAcentral